This 253-nucleotide ribosomal RNA is filed under the name uncultured bacterium. RNAcentral's name for it is "partial 16S ribosomal RNA". It matches the Rfam family "Bacterial small subunit ribosomal RNA", at positions 524 to 776 of the family's 1533-position model. The record is from RNAcentral.
GACGUAGGGGGCCAGCGUUGUUCGGAAUUACUGGGUGUAAAGGGUUCGUAGGCGGUGCGGCAAGUCGGGGGUGAAAUCUCUGGGCUUAACCCAGAGGCUGCUUCCGAAACUGCUGUGCUUGAGUGUGGGAGAGGCGAGUGGAAUUGCAGGUGUAGCGGUGAAAUGCGUAGAUAUCUGCAGGAACACCCGUGGCGAAAGCGGCGCGCUGGACCACUACUGACGCUGAGGAGCGAAAGCUAGGGGAGCAAACAGG